UGCUGCAUAUUGCAUUGCUACUGUAAUAGUGAAAGGAAGAAUAAAAAAGGAAGUUUGACAGGAGUUAGGAUCUUACAUCUUCCGACGCUCGAAGAAGACUAACAACGAAAUGGGAAAUAACUACUCAGUGUACCCGACGAACACCGAAAGUACACGAAGGUUAAUGUGCUUAGAAGUUCGAUGACGAAAUUUUAAGCAAAGAAACCAAACACAACAUUGGAAUACAGACGCCGGCUGAGGAGUGAGAGAGAUACGAUUGAUUGAGAGAUACAUUGAACGACUAAGAGACGAUAUUUUCUAUUAGGAAAUAAAAAAGAAAAAAUCAAAAGAAUUAUCUCGAAAGCGGAACUUUCGCCGAUGCAGAAAGGUCUUAUUGAAAUGCAGAGGUACCCUCCGAAGUGGAAGUCACUUUCGGGAGUCCCGAAAUAACAGGCUAGCGGACAACGUGCGGAGAAUCCUUCGCUUCCUGAAACGGCCAUCGGGCGAGAUACGAAUUCGUAAUUGACGUGGUGGCACUCACUAUACGUCAGCUUUAUACCCAAGCAUUCUCCA
Molecule: long non-coding RNA, 552 nt
Organism: Polistes canadensis
Lineage: Eukaryota; Metazoa; Arthropoda; Insecta; Hymenoptera; Vespidae
Exons: 3
Source: RefSeq, a predicted model, not a curated record